RNAcentral lists this ribosomal RNA (491 nucleotides) under uncultured bacterium. Its description in RNAcentral is "partial 16S ribosomal RNA". It matches the Rfam family "Bacterial small subunit ribosomal RNA", at positions 29 to 507 of the family's 1533-position model. The record is from RNAcentral.
AGUGAACGCUGGCGGUAGGCCUAACACAUGCCAGUCGAACGGCAGCACAGUAAGAGCUUGCUCUUACGGGUGGCGAGUGGCGGACGGGUGAGGAAUACAUCGGAAUCUACUUUUUCGUGGGGAUAACGUAGGGAAACUUACGCUAAUACCGCAUACGACCUACGGGUGAAAGCAGGGGAUCUUCGGACCUUGCGCGAUUGAAUGAGCCGAUGUCGGAUUAGCUAGUUGGCGGGGUAAAGGCCCACCAAGGCGGCGAUCCGUAGCUGGUCUGAGAGGAUGAUCAGCCACACUGGAACUGAGACACGGUCCAGACUCCUACGGGAGGCAGCAGUGGGGAAUAUUGGACAAUGGGCGCAAGCCUGAUCCAGCCAUACCGCGUGGGUGAAGAAGGCCUUCGGGUUGUAAAGCCCUUUUGUUGGGAAAGAAAAGCAGCAGGUUAAUACCCCGCUGUUCUGACGGUACCCAAAGAAUAAGCACCGGCUAACUUCGUG